Molecule: non-coding RNA, 72 nt
Organism: Salmo salar (Atlantic salmon)
Lineage: Eukaryota; Metazoa; Chordata; Actinopteri; Salmoniformes; Salmonidae
Source: Rfam
UCCCAUGUAGCUCAGUUGGUAGAGCAUGGUGCUUACAACACCAGGGUUGUGGGUUUGAUUCCCACGGGGGAC